Molecule: unclassified non-coding RNA, 433 nt
Filed under: soil metagenome
Description: partial contains 5.8S ribosomal RNA, internal transcribed spacer 2, and large subunit ribosomal RNA
Rfam family: 5.8S ribosomal RNA (bases 1-120)
Source: RNAcentral
GAUGAAGAACGUAGCGAAAUGCGAUACGUAAUGUGAAUUGCAGAAUUCAGUGAAUCAUCGAAUCUUUGAACGCAUAUUGCGCUCUCUGGUAUUCCGGAGAGCAUGCUUGUUUGAGUAUCAGUAAACACCUCAACUUCCAUAUCUUUUUUGAAAUGGGAGUUGGACUUGAGUGAUCCCAACGCUUUUCCUCACCGAAAAGUGGCGGGUUACUUGAAAUGCAGGUGCAGCUGGACUUUUCUCUGAGCUAUAAGCAUAUCUAUUUAGUCUGCCUAAAAAACAGAUUAUUACCUUUGCUGCAGCUAACAUAAAGGAAAUUAGUUCUUGUGCUGACUGAUGCAGGAUUCACAAAGACAGGCUUCGGCCGACUUUGUAAACUCGAUCUCAAAUCAAGUAAGACUACCCGCUGAACUUAAGCAUAUCAAUAAGCGGAGGA